UGUGUAUGUGUGAGCAGGCAUCUUCUCAGCCUACAUGUGGAUUCUUAAAUCUGCAGGCUGGUUAGAUGGUUGUCAUACAUUCACCUGA
Molecule: microRNA precursor, 88 nt
Filed under: Alligator mississippiensis (American alligator)
Lineage: Eukaryota; Metazoa; Chordata; Crocodylia; Alligatoridae
Description: microRNA ami-mir-456 precursor
Gene: ami-mir-456
Rfam family: mir-456 microRNA precursor family (bases 8-80)
Source: miRBase by way of RNAcentral